UUUUCAAUUUUUUUCCAAUCUCCGCUCCUCCGCGGCUUCUCCAUCUCCGAUCAAAUCCGCUCCUCGGCUUACCCGGAGAGUUUCUACACCGCCGACGAAACUAUCUAGUAGCAGGUCUUCGAUUCUUCAUGUAUGUGCUCCUCGGCUUCUCCAUCUCCCUUCAAAUCCGCUUUACCAGAGAGAUUCUAUGCCGCCGCAUCUUACGACAACCUCUACGCGUCUUAUUUGUCGACGAAAUCCUCUACCACCAAGUCACGAUCGAUCUCUUCCGUUGCAAAACUCAUGAGAAUCUGGUGGUUUGUACCUUAGAAUCUCGUGGUUUGACUUAACAUUUAAACAGGCUACUUUAAGACCAUGCAAUACAUUGAAAUGAGGAGGCAAAAGCACAUGGAAAAGGCCCCGAGUUUGGAGCUUAAACGGCUUUGGUUCUCCAAAAUCUCUCCAUCAACUGCAGAAAAAGAAACAGAUUGUAUGAAUAUUUUGAAACCGUCUUUAUCAUUAGCACUAUAGUCAUGUAACCCCCAAAACUGAACAAAACAUAAC
Molecule: long non-coding RNA, 543 nt
Organism: Capsella rubella
Lineage: Eukaryota; Viridiplantae; Streptophyta; Magnoliopsida; Brassicales; Brassicaceae
Exons: 3
Source: RefSeq, a predicted model, not a curated record